UACGUAGGUGGCAAGCGUUGUCCGGAUUUAUUGGGUUUAAAGGGUGCGUAGGCGGUUCUAUAAGUCAGUGGUGAAAUCCGGCAGCUCAACUGUCGAUGUGCCAUUGAUACUGCAGAACUUGAGUACAGACGAGGUAGGCGGAAUUGACGGUGUAGCGGUGAAAUUCGUAGAUAUCGAGAGGAACACCUGUGGCGAAAGCGGCGCACUGGACCACAACUGACGCUGAGGCGCGAAAGCUGGGGGAGCAAACAGG
RNAcentral lists this ribosomal RNA (253 nucleotides) under uncultured bacterium. Its description in RNAcentral is "partial 16S ribosomal RNA". It matches the Rfam family "Bacterial small subunit ribosomal RNA", at positions 524 to 776 of the family's 1533-position model. The record is from RNAcentral.